RNAcentral lists this ribosomal RNA (253 nucleotides) under uncultured bacterium. RNAcentral's name for it is "partial 16S ribosomal RNA". It matches the Rfam family "Bacterial small subunit ribosomal RNA", at positions 524 to 776 of the family's 1533-position model. The record is from RNAcentral.
UACGUAGGGGGCUAGCGUUGUCCGGAAUCAUUGGGCGUAAAGCGCGUGUAGGCGGCCCGGUAAGUCCGCUGUGAAAGUCGGGGGCUCAACCCUCGAAAGCCGGUGGAUACUGUCGGGCUCGAGUACGGGAGAGGCGAGUGGAAUUCCUGGUGUAGCGGUGAAAUGCGCAGAUAUCAGGAGGAACACCGAUUGCGAAGGCAGCUCGCUGGAACGUUACUGACGCUGAGACGCGAAAGCGUGGGGAGCAAACAGG